RNAcentral lists this ribosomal RNA (253 nucleotides) under uncultured bacterium. RNAcentral describes it as "partial 16S ribosomal RNA". It matches the Rfam family "Bacterial small subunit ribosomal RNA", at positions 524 to 776 of the family's 1533-position model. The record is from RNAcentral.
UACGGAGGAUCCAAGCGUUAUCCGGAUUUAUUGGGCUUAAAGGGCGCGUAGGCGGCUAGGUAAGUCUCGGGUGAAAUCUUUCGGCUCAACCGGAAACGUGCCUGGGAUACUGCCUAGCUAGAGGGAGAUAGGGGCGGACGGAACUUCCGGUGGAGCGGUGAAAUGCGUUGAUAUCGGAAGGAACGCCGGUGGCGAAAGCGGUCCGCUGGAUCUCUACUGACGCUGAGGCGCGAAAGCCAGGGGAGCAAACGGG